CAUAUGCCGAAUAUAUAUAUUCUAGCUACCUUCUUAUCGUUUACUACUUGGCGUAAUAAUCGUCCAAAUCCAUAAUGCAAUCGUGUAAUGACAAUGUAUUUUGCUUUUAGGUAACAUUGCUUGUUUAAGGCUAUACCUGUUUUUAAACCUUUCAUUCAUUCAUUGUACCUCAUACGUUCCAGUGUACUUAAUUAUAAUUAUAAAUAACUGCAAUGCAAUUAAAUUUUCCUAAACGUGCAUUUAGUACUAACAAGCGAAGAGUUGUGGUCGGACUAUUCUGAGGUGCUCCUUUCUUAACACAAUCUCACAAAAUAUUGGCUGGUCUCUUCGAAUACGACCGUUUAGUUGCUGGUUCGUAUUUUUAACUUUAUUUGCACCGCGCUUCCAGAAAUCACUUUUGCCGUUUUUUCUAUUAUCAUCUAGCAGGCAUAUUUCUAGACGCUUUCUUAUAAACUUCUCGAAAACUGACGAAAAAAUAAGUUUUCUUUAUAUAAACAUAGCUUCUUAUAUUGACGUUACUCUUGACUCUUGUUAUAAUCUUCGUUGGCUUGGGGGCUAAACUGUCGGCUGGCGCUGGCUGUGCUCAUCUGAGCCAGCUUUUACGAUUUGUUCUGGGUGCUCAGUAAUCGUAUGUCGGCGUGCAACGCAAGCAGCGUUUGUUCAGGCAAGAAAUGCAACCACCCUUGCUGAUUUUGGACCAAGGACUGGUCCGAAACAUUCCGAUGUACCUGAGUGCGCUUACAAAUCGACUCGGGCCUUUAUGAAUUGACCAAACUCAUCACGGCUACCCGUCCCAGGCUGCGUAGUCGCGCUGACUAUUCCCGACAGCCGAAAUUUGUUUUCUCGGUUGCCUGCUGUGGUAAAUCUCCCAGCAAAUAAUACUUGCUUGUGUUAUCUAUUCGACGACAACGUUCUUGGACGCGUGUUUUGCCACGACCACCCCACGCUAAAGUUAAUCGAUUUAACUGAGGUCUAUUUUUAUGAAAGGUAUGGACCUGGGAAGUAUUACAUACAGACUGGUAAUUCUAAUCUCUGCAAGCCACAAGAAGGUGCCAUGGUAAUCGUUGAUCCCAUAAUCGUGAAAACAAUAAAAUCAAAUUCGGGCGAGUGAUUAUAAAUGCCAUCGUCACUAACCAGAACCAACGAUGGGUCAGGUCAGCUCACUUACAAGUCUUCGGUGCACUAAACAAUUUCGAGCACUUCUUAAUAUUGGUGUGCUCUAGGGCACGUAAUGCGAUGAUGAUUCGGUUAAUUGUAUGUUUUCAUGAUACCGAUCUGCGAGAUACGCUGCAUCUAAAGGAAACUCUUUUCUUGCUUACAAUAUAGGAAUUUUCUGUCAGAUUAAGUUUUCGUGCCGCAGGUAUCAUAAAUUGUUAAAGUGAAUUUUGUUAUCAUAUGCGGUUCUUCACAUGCAAAAGGUGACAGCUAUCACCCUUGUCGCUCGAACCUUCUCGGGUACGCCUAGCUCAAACGAAGUCCGACACCAAUUUCGGCACAGCUGUACUAACAUCUCAAAUCAGUGUUAAUCUAUAGGAGGCCAUAUAAAAUGGUAAGGACAACUUUCCGCUCGGUAGUGACGCCCUACAAAAUCGCCAUUGUAUGCUGUUAACGGUGCAGUAGUACAAUGCUGUUUUUCCAAAUUUAUUGCCGCUCAUCGACCACAAGGACAUCGGUUCCAGUAGACGCGGCGACUCGUUAGGCUCUUCGGCGUAUGGCGUACAUAGGAAAGAUUGCGGUCGAUAAACGAUGGUUCUUAGGAGAAAAAAAAAGCGUUGCUUACGUAAACUUUAAAAAGAUUACGGCUGCAAUCGUGAGCAGAAGUAGUGAAAUUAGCGAUAAAGAUGCCACGAUCCCGGAAACGGCGACGGGAAGAAGUGAAGGCGCUUCAAAGGGGCACUCUCCUUCGUCGGCAAUAAAAUCUUCACGUACACUGUUGGAUUGUCGUGUCAAGGAAAAGUUAUUUCAUUCAAUGCUUUAGAUGCAACUCCGACGUGGACCUUUAGAUUCUGACCAUGCGGCUGAGAACUCGUUAGGAACGUUGAUCGUCGUCCGAUCAAAUCCUUAAUGAGGAACUUGUCUUCUUGCUAAUGUUAGGGGCGCCUGGUGGUCUAUGAUCGAAUCUGAACGUAGACACAAUUUGGGGGCCACAAUUGUCUGAUGCGUCUGAUGGCAACGCCGGAGGUACAACUUGCAACAUUUAAGUGCUUCGGUCGUUGGAAAAAACUGUUUCUUAUCAAAGAUAAGCAACGCGAUCGUAUUUACUUAAUGUAUAAUAAAAUUAAUAAAUUUCACCUAACGUAUAAUAGGGUUCGAGUAGAUUAAUAAAACGACUUAGAAGUGCGGGUCAUAGUCCGAAACCCUCGAAAGUUUGCUACACAGGUUUUCAAAGAGAAACUCUGCUUCGGGAGAUUUUAGCUAUUUUCAUUCGUAAAUACUGAGUAUUUCAA
Molecule: long non-coding RNA, 2447 nt
Organism: Varroa destructor (honeybee mite)
Lineage: Eukaryota; Metazoa; Arthropoda; Arachnida; Mesostigmata; Varroidae
Source: RefSeq, a predicted model, not a curated record